GUGUAGGUGUUGCCUGUCAGUGGAAUAUGGAAAUGGCAUAACUUGAUUUCUUAAACGUCUAAAAGGAGUUUACUAUAGUAAGGAAGCUGUGGCGAGAUUCCUUCAGAUUGUGCUCACAAAGUCUAUUGACCAGGAGUAUAAGGAUCAUAAGAUAUAAACCUGUCACCCACUAGCUUCAAUUUCUGAGGUCCUGGGACGAGAUUGGGAUGAAGUGCUCACGAUCAAAUGGACCCGACAUUCAAUUGUUCUAUUUGCUCAGUCUUGAGUAACUAUAUCAAAUGUAUCUUGUAUCAAGAGAUUACUGAUACCAAUAAAUGUAUAUGCCAAAA
This is a long non-coding RNA of Boleophthalmus pectinirostris (great blue-spotted mudskipper), 329 nucleotides long. RefSeq lists it as uncharacterized. Lineage: Eukaryota; Metazoa; Chordata; Actinopteri; Gobiiformes; Gobiidae. The transcript has 4 exons. The record is from RefSeq and is a predicted model, not a curated record.